CCUACGGGAGGCAGCAGUAGGGAAUAUUGCUCAAUGGGGGAAACCCUGAAGCAGCCACGCCGCGUGGAGGAUGAAGGUUUUCGGGUUGUAAACUCCUUUUGUUAGAGAAGAUAAUGACGGUAUCUGACGAAUAAGCACCGGCUAACUCCGUUCCAGCAGCCGCGGUAAUACGGAGGGUGCAAGCGUUAUUCGGAAUCACUGGGCGUAACGAGGGCGUAGGCGGGUUAGCAAGUCAGUUGUGAAAUCCUGUGGCUUAACCAUAGAACUGCAUUUGAAACUGUUAUUCUAGAGUAUGGGAGAGGUAGGUGGAAUUCUUGGUGUAGCGGUAAAAUCCGUAGAGAUCAAGAGGAAUACUGAUUGCGAAGGCGGCCUGCUAGAACGUAACUGACGCUGAUGCGCGAAAGCGUGGGUAGCAAACAGGAUUAGAUACCCGAGUAGUC
Molecule: ribosomal RNA, 440 nt
Filed under: uncultured bacterium
Lineage: Bacteria
Description: partial 16S ribosomal RNA
Rfam family: Bacterial small subunit ribosomal RNA
Source: RNAcentral